CCGGACGAAGACGCUAAGACGCGAAAUGAGACAUUCAAAGCUACUGAAAAUAGAUUUAAACGACCGCGAAGGCGAGUUAAAUACAAUUUUUAGAGAGUUUGAUCCUGGCUCAGGACGAACGCUGGCGGCGUGCCUAACACAUGCAAGUCAACGGGGAUUUGAGAGCUUGCUUUCAAAUCUUAGUGGCGGACGGGUGAGUAACGCGUGAGUAACCUGCCUCUCAGAGGGGGAUAACAUUCUGAAAAGAAUGCUAAUACCGCAUGACAUUCCUUUCUCGCAUGGGGAGGGAAUCAAAGGAGCAAUCCGCUGAGAGAUGGACUCGCGUCCGAUUAGCUAGUUGGCGGAGUAAAAGCCCACCAAGGCGACGAUCGGUAGCUGGUCUGAGAGGACGAUCAGCCACACUGGGACUGAGACACGGCCCAGACUCCUACGGGAGGCAGCAGUGGGGAAUUUUCCGCAAUGGGCGAAAGCCUGACGGAGCAAGACCGCGUGGGGGAAGAAGGCUCUUGGGUUGUAAACCCCUUUUCUCUGGGAAGAAAGUUG
RNAcentral lists this ribosomal RNA (543 nucleotides) under uncultured Lachnospiraceae bacterium. Its description in RNAcentral is "bacterial SSU rRNA". The stretch from base 87 to 543 matches the Rfam family "Bacterial small subunit ribosomal RNA", at positions 1 to 454 of the family's 1533-position model. The record is from RNAcentral. Lineage: Bacteria; Bacillati; Bacillota; Clostridia; Lachnospirales; Lachnospiraceae.